Molecule: signal recognition particle RNA, 90 nt
Filed under: Defluviicoccus sp.
Lineage: Bacteria; Pseudomonadati; Pseudomonadota; Alphaproteobacteria; Rhodospirillales; Rhodospirillaceae
Description: signal recognition particle sRNA small type
Rfam family: Bacterial small signal recognition particle RNA
About the family: The signal recognition particle (SRP) is a universally conserved ribonucleoprotein involved in the co-translational targeting of proteins to membranes. Archaeal SRP consists of a 7S RNA and homologues of the eukaryotic SRP19 and SRP54 proteins.
Source: RNAcentral
GGCUGGUCGCGGACGGGGCGCUCGCCAACCCGGUCAGGUCCGGAAGGAAGCAGCCGUAACGAGAAGGCUCCGGGUCGCCGGCCGGCCUUC